This 305-nucleotide ribosomal RNA is filed under the name uncultured bacterium. Its description in RNAcentral is "bacterial SSU rRNA". It matches the Rfam family "Bacterial small subunit ribosomal RNA", at positions 337 to 639 of the family's 1533-position model. The record is from RNAcentral.
UCCUACGGGGGGCAGCAGUGAGGAAUAUUGGUCAAUGGGCUUACGCCUGAACCAGCCAAGUCGCGUGAGGGAAGACUGCCCUAUGGGUUGUAAACCUCUUUUGUCAGGGAGCAACGCCGGCUACGUGUAGCCGGACUGAGAGUACCUGAAGAAAAAGCAUCGGCUAACUCCGUGCCAGCAGCCGCGGUAAUACGUAGGUGGCAAGCGUUAUCCGGAAUGAUUGGGCGUAAAGGGUGCGCAGGCGGCGUGGCAAGUCUGAAGUGAAAGGUACGGGCUCAACCUGUACAGGCUUUGGAAACUGCCAC